AGUGAACGCUGGCGGUAGGCCUAACACAUGCAAGUCGAACGGCAGCACAGUAAGAGCUUGCUCUUACGGGUGGCGAGUGGCGGACGGGUGAGGAAUACAUCGGAAUCUACUUUUUCGUGGGGGAUAACGUAGGGAAACUUACGCCAAUACCGCAUACGACCUACGGGUGAAAGCAGGGGAUCUUCGGACCUUGCGCGAUUGAAUGAGCCGAUGUCGGAUUGGCUAGUUGGCGGGGUAAAGGCCCACCAAGGCGACGAUCCGUUGCUGGUCUGAGAGGACGAUCAGCCACACUGGAACUGAGAAACGGUCCAAACUCCUACGGGAGGCAGCAGUGGGGAAUAUUGGACAAGGGGCGCAAGCCUGAUCCAGCCAUACCGCGUGGGUGAAGAAGGCCUUCGGGUUGUAAAGCCCUUUUGUUGGGAAAGAAAAGCAGCAGGUUAAUACCCCGCUGUUCUGACGGUACCCAAAGAAUAAGCACCGGCUAACUUCGUG
RNAcentral lists this ribosomal RNA (492 nucleotides) under uncultured bacterium. RNAcentral's name for it is "partial 16S ribosomal RNA". It matches the Rfam family "Bacterial small subunit ribosomal RNA", at positions 29 to 507 of the family's 1533-position model. The record is from RNAcentral.